GGACGAACGCUGGCGGCGUGCCUAAUACAUGCAAGUCGAACGGUCUUUCUAUGGAAGCUUGCUUCCACUGAAAAGAUAGUGGCGAACGGGUGAGUAACACGUGGGUAACCUGCCCAUAAGAGGGGGGAUAACAUCCGGAAACGGGUGCUAAUACCGCAUAGUUUUCUUGAUCGCAUGAUCGGGAAAGGAAAGACGGCCUUUGUGCUGUCGCUUAUGGAUGGACCCGCGGCGUAUUAGUUAGUUGGUGAGGUAACGGCUCACCAAGACGAUGAUACGUAGCCGACCUGAGAGGGUGAUCGGCCACAUUGGGACUGAGACACGGCCCAAACUCCUACGGGAGGCAGCAGUAGGGAAUCUUCCGCAAUGGACGAAAGUCUGACGGAGCAACGCCGCGUGAGUGAAGGAGGUUUUUCCGGAUCGUAAAACUCUGUUGUCAGAGAAGAACAAGUUGGAGAGUAACUGCUCCAGCCUUGACGGUAUCUGACCAGAAAGCCACGGCUAACUACGUGCCAGCAGCAGC
RNAcentral lists this ribosomal RNA (520 nucleotides) under uncultured bacterium. Its description in RNAcentral is "bacterial SSU rRNA". It matches the Rfam family "Bacterial small subunit ribosomal RNA", at positions 27 to 518 of the family's 1533-position model. The record is from RNAcentral.